CGAACGGGUGAGUAACACGUGAGUAACCUGCCCCAGAGUGGGGGACAACAGUUGGAAACGACUGCUAAUACCGCAUAAGCCCACGGAACCGCAUGGUUCUGGGGGAAAAGGAGCAAUUCGCUUUGGGAUGGACUCGCGUCCGAUUAGCUAGAUGGUGAGGUAACGGCCCACCAUGGCGACGAUCGGUAGCCGGACUGAGAGGUUGAUCGGCCACAUUGGGACUGAGACACGGCCCAG
This 237-nucleotide ribosomal RNA is filed under the name uncultured bacterium. RNAcentral describes it as "partial 16S ribosomal RNA". It matches the Rfam family "Bacterial small subunit ribosomal RNA", at positions 99 to 334 of the family's 1533-position model. The record is from RNAcentral.